CUAGCCUAGGACGGACCACGGUUCGAUCCCCCGGCUGCCCCAUAUGGUCCCCCAAGCCAGGAGCGACUUCUGAGCGCAUAGCCAGGAGGAACCCCUGAGUAUCACCGGGUGUGGCCCAAAAACCAAAAAAAAAAAAAAAAGAA
This is a long non-coding RNA of Suncus etruscus (white-toothed pygmy shrew), 143 nucleotides long. RefSeq lists it as uncharacterized. The transcript has 2 exons. NCBI's taxonomy places the organism in Eukaryota, Metazoa, Chordata, Mammalia, Eulipotyphla, Soricidae. The record is from RefSeq and is a predicted model, not a curated record.